GACGACGAGAGGAGACGAGAGCUUGGAGCACUCCGGAGAGCCAGUGUGCUUUGAGCAACUGUGAGCUCUGAUCGGUGCGCACCUUACUCCCGUUGGAUCCUCGGCGUCCACAGUUUCUAAACAAUCUCUGUUUCCAGUUGCAUGCGAUCUAAACUGUCUACUUCCAGACCUUCCCUGCGGUCAUCCAACGCGUUUAUCGCAUUUUCACUCUUUACAAUCACAGAUCGCCUAGAGUCCUCACAACCGAAUCAGGAGUCAACUGAGCACCUGUUCAUAAAACCUUUAAGGAAGUUGAUCAUGUCAUCUUUUUCGAACUUAUUGAAUUAUAUAAAGUUGAGUGUAAACAAAAAAAUUGGUCAAACUAUCAGCGAUUUUAAAAAUUUCGUUGCUAAGAAUAAUCAAUAACAAUCGGCACUAAUUGUCUCACUUCCUUCGGAUCACCAGUCGUAAUACUCGUUCCGAUGCUCUCAACCCCACAGUGUUUAUAUUAAAACUAAUUUUUUUCUUUUCCUUUUACCUGCGUUACAGUCGAUAUGUUCAGAUAUUUGGUUCACAAACUUUAUUCCUAGUCGUUAUGCUGAAAGGAAUACAUCGUUUUUUAAGGAGAUGAAAAUCUUUUUAGUGAAAAUGUAGGUGUAAUCUAACUCCGAAAUUCGUCAUUCCAUCUGAUCGUCUGAUUUUGUAAAGAACGAUAUGAACUACAUUGGUCCAUCGUCGAGAACUAUUAAUUUUGAUAUCGUCGAGAACGAAAUUUAGCUAGUUGGAACUGACCCAAAUUAAUUCUUUCCAUCAAGAAUAAAAUGUGUUUGAUAGGCUAAAAAAAUAUCUUCAAUAGUUCCAGAAAUUAUGAAUAUAUACCAAUGAUAUUUCCAUGCUUCACGAGCGCGGAAAAGUUUCUCGAGACAAAUAGAGCCAGCAAUGAUGCUUUGACUCAGGGAUGCUGCGAUCAGGUGCCUGAAAAUCUUUCUAAAAACAGUGCACACAUAAUUCUCUAUCAAAGUCCUCCUCGUGAAAACGUCGAAAAUGAGACUCGGAUAGAAAGAAAUCGUCUUCGUGUAGACAUUCGCAAUGGGCCACACUAUCAAAAGGAAAAGGAAAAAAGUUUGAGAAAAUCUCUUUCACUAACAAAACUGUCCUGUACUGGAUGUUAUUCCAUUUUCACGUGUGCAAUAUCGAUCGAAUGCACUAACAAAAGGAAACCUAGGCCCAUAAACCGUUUAAAGGGGUGAAAACAACCCCCGAAGGUGGACAUCUUCACGGGGUGGUUUCUCAGUUUCGCUUGGAAGCACUUGAUGUUUUCGAAUGAAAUGAACGUUAAAAUAUUUUUAUUGAUGAAUCAUCGAAAGCGCACUCCAGACUUUCUAGGAAAAAGAAUAUUUGAGGGGCGAACAACCCCUAAUUCGAAAAUUUCAUUUUGAGUCGUAAAAAAUUAUUCUUCUCAUUCGCACGAAACCAACCGCUUUUUGUAGAGGUCAAAGAAUUAGCCAAUGCGUACUUCGGGGUUUUUCCGAAAAAUUCGAUUUUAAGGAGGCGAAUUACUCCUUUUGUCAUAAUACCUUAGAUAAUUAGCUAAUAAACUUUUGUUUUCUUGAUUA
Molecule: RNA transcript, 1595 nt
Organism: Venturia canescens
Lineage: Eukaryota; Metazoa; Arthropoda; Insecta; Hymenoptera; Ichneumonidae
Exons: 4
Source: RefSeq, a predicted model, not a curated record